Non-coding RNA from Phoenix dactylifera (date palm), 1625 nucleotides. The record is from RefSeq and is a predicted model, not a curated record. Lineage: Eukaryota; Viridiplantae; Streptophyta; Magnoliopsida; Arecales; Arecaceae.
AAUAAAAUUAAUUUUUUUAUUAAUUUUAGGGCUAAACAAAACUAAAAAUACUAUCAAAUACGGCCCAACAGGGCCCAGACUCGGCCCGCAAUGGACACAGUCCAAUAGGGCCCAAAUUGGGCCCACAAAAAGAGCAUGGCCCAACAAAGCCUAAAGUAGCUAAACUGGGCCAAAAUUGGCCCGCAGUUGGUUCGACCCAAUAGGGCCCAACAAAGCUGCAGUGGGCCCAAAUUGGACCCAUAUUGGGUAUUCACGACCCAUUUCCUUUCUUUUUCUUCCUUUUCUCUUCUUUUCUUUUCUUUUUCUUUUCUUUUCUUUUCUUUUUCUUUUUCUUUUUCUUCUCUUCUUCCCGAAGCUUCCUCUCCUCUUCCCAUUCUUUCUUCUUCUCCCCUUCCCCUCUCUUCUUCCGUGACCAAAGAGGGGGCGACCCCAUACCGGGGCUCAGGAGGGGGCCGGCCCUCUCUCCCUCCCGUGGAGAAGAGAGAGCUCGGGAGAACGGCGGCCGGCCCUCUCUUCUUCCCGUGGAGGAGAGAGAGAGCUCGGGAGAAGAAGAGCCCGCGGCCGGGACCGGCGGCGCCAGCAACGCUCGCGGCCGCACACGGGAACUGCAGACGGGACACAUCAAAAUUAGGGAUCGUGAAGUACCAGCACAAGUGGAUGGACCAGAGCUCUUCGACAGGCUCGAAUUCCGGGGAGAUCGAAAAGGGGGAGAGUCCAACCCCGGUUGGGGGAUCCAGGGCACAAACUUUUGAGAGGCGUGGCGCUGCGGGAUCUGAUGGGGAGAAGGUAGAAGAGAUAGCAGAAGGGAAUGAGGAAGUGGCGGCGUCGAGAUACGAGGAGUUUCAACCCGCUAUAUAUAAUACAUACAGAGAGAGAAGGGAGGGGGCGUACCGCGAGAGCUGGUGGCGUUUUCCGCCGGCGAGUGGAGGUGGAGGAUGAGCACCAGGAGGAACACGGGAUACGAACGACCGUACGCGUUAUAAAUAACAGCUGGGUUGGGCUAGAAUGUAGCCUGUGGGUGGGCCGACUUUGCCCAGAUUAAAAUUUGGAUCCAAAUCAGGUUGUCUGAUAAACUUUAAUUGGGCCGUCAAAAUGGUGCUGGGCCAAGAUUGAGAGGUCUACCUACUAAUAAAGAGGAUAUAAUGUUGGAUUAGUGGGAAGCACACUCAUGAGUGGAUUUUGGAUUCUAUUUAGCAUUUAAGGGAAGAUUUGGGCAGGAUGGAUGCAACGCAAGGGAAUGACGCAGAUGGAAGAGUGACGACGAAUCGAAUGGUUGUAGAUGUGGUGAGGACUUGCCGGAGAAGAAGAAGAACAGAGUGGAGAAAGAGUCCUUCAGAUGAUUUGGUGUUGUGGUUUGUUUCCUGCAAUUGGUGGCCACAUUAACUGGGAUGAUGAAAAUAGGAAGAGUAAGAUAUAGGGCCGCAUGCAGUUCGGGUUGGAUCGAGGAUUGGUGCAUUUGAAAUCCAAUGAAUAAAAAUCGAAUCUAGACUGAAUUGAUUACCAUUUGGAUUUGAUUAGAUCGAGUUCAGGAUUUAUUUUAAGUUAUUGGACCUUUCAAGUCAAUUUGGGUCGGAAACAUGUAUGAACUUAUCAAUUAAUUAUAUCGUAAACAUAUUAUACAGCAA